RNAcentral lists this ribosomal RNA (483 nucleotides) under uncultured Anaeroplasma sp. RNAcentral describes it as "bacterial SSU rRNA". It matches the Rfam family "Bacterial small subunit ribosomal RNA", at positions 8 to 507 of the family's 1533-position model. The record is from RNAcentral. Lineage: Bacteria; Bacillati; Mycoplasmatota; Mollicutes; Anaeroplasmatales; Anaeroplasmataceae.
AGAGUUUGAUCCUGGCUCAGGAUUAACGCUGGCGGCGUGCCUAAUACAUGCAAGUCGAACGGAAGUACCUUCGGGUACUUUAGUGGCGAACGGGUGAGUAAUACAUAGGUAACCUACCCUUAAGACGAGGAUAGCCAUUGGAAACGAUGGAUAAAACUGGAUAGGAUAUAGAGGAAGAAUCUUUUAUAUUUAAAAGAGAGAUCUGCUUAAGGAGGGGCCUGUGGCGCAUUAGCUAGUUGGUGGGGUAAGGGCCUACCAAGGCGAUGAUGCGUAGCCGGACUGAGAGGUUGAACGGCCACAAUGGAACUGAGAACGGUCCAUACUCCUACGGGAGGCAGCAGUAGGGAAUUUUCGGCAAUGGGGGGAACCCUGACCGAGCAACGCCGCGUGGACGAAGAAGUUAUUCGUAAUGUAAAGUUCUUUUAUCAGGGAAGAAAGAGGAAUUUGACGGUACCUGAGGAAUAAGCUCCGGCUAACUACGUG